UACGUAGGGUGCAAGCGUUAAUCGGAAUUACUGGGCGUAAAGCGUGCGCAGGCGGUAAGUUAAGUCUGAUGUGAAAGCCCCGGGCUCAACCUGGGAAUGCCAUUCGAGACUGCAUAGCUAGGGUGCGGAAGAGGGAAGCGGAAUUUCCGGUGUAGCGGUGAAAUGCGUAGAUAUCGGAAGGAACACCAGUGGCGAAAGCGGCUUCCUGGUCCAGCACCGACGUUCAGGCACGAAAGCGUGGGGAGCAAACAGG
RNAcentral lists this ribosomal RNA (253 nucleotides) under uncultured bacterium. Its description in RNAcentral is "partial 16S ribosomal RNA". It matches the Rfam family "Bacterial small subunit ribosomal RNA", at positions 524 to 776 of the family's 1533-position model. The record is from RNAcentral.